Molecule: unclassified non-coding RNA, 1093 nt
Filed under: Hevea brasiliensis (rubber tree)
Lineage: Eukaryota; Viridiplantae; Streptophyta; Magnoliopsida; Malpighiales; Euphorbiaceae
Source: RNAcentral
CUCUUAUCUAUUAGCCUAAGCGUCUUCGCUAACUCGCUCGCCUAUUAUACUACACCCUACUAUACAAUACAUUAGUAGGGUAGGCUAGGCUAACGCUUACUUCUACUAAUGUAUUGUAUAGUAGCGCCUUUUCCUUUUUGAAUAACCCCAUUAUCUUUCAUAAGUCAAGUAGGCGCUCCCUAACCGGUCGCCUUAGUAGCGUUGACAAAGAAGAACAGCCGGUUAAAAGACAGCGAAUCUUUUUAUUUAUAUCCUUAUAUAUUCAAAAUAAUAAUAAAUAUAUAUAUAUAGAAGAAGGCCAGCUUGACAAGCUACCCUUCUUCUUGAUCUGAGGUGCGAAGAUAAACAUCUCUUUUUUAUGACUUCCACUUAUCGAUCCCGGCCCGGAAAAGUGACCGACCAGGGCCCUAUUGAUGAAUGAAAGAAAGGGUUUAUAAGCCCUAGCCCUUGUAAGCCCACACCUGUGUAGAGUAGAUCGUUCAACACCUGCGGCACAAACCCAUUUUUGACCUAUUGGUCCUAGUAUCAUAGGCGACCGAACGGCCGCCCCCUAAUUACUAGACCAACCUGCUAUAAUAAUUCCAUAAACACCUAGCGAAGAUAUGGCAAACAAAUAAAGUAGCCCUAUGUUCAAAUCUGACAAUACCAUACCAUAAUCAAAAGGUACAACGGCCCAAGCGACCAGACUUAACAUAAAUGUAGCCACUGGAGCCAUUCUAAAAAGGAAGAAAUUAGCACUACUUGGUGAAAUAGGUUCUUUUAGAAUCAAUUUCAAACCAUCUGCUAGAGGUUGUAACAAUCCGAACAAUCCCACUACAUCAGGACCCUUUCGACGUUGCACAAAAGCCAUUACUUUACGUUCAGCUAGCACUAAAAAGGCUACUCCUAGUAGAAGUGGUAAAAUUAUUCCAAGUAUUUCAGCUGGAACAGCUAUGUACAUUUUCGAUUUUCUAUUCACUCAUGAUCUGGCCUGGUCGAGUCGACCCAAUCAUGAUAUUGAAGGAUGGGACCUUUUCUCGAAAAACCCUGGAUCCCGGGAAGAGUUGAAGAUGGUGCAACAUCGAAUCCUGUUACGUUACUUCGAAUGGAAUCU